AGGUUAUCUCCUUCAUCAAAUAUGCUCCAGAUCUGCUCUUUUCUCAGGAGCACGACGGCCGGCGAAGGCUCUCGGCGAGUACGAGCACGGCGGCAGGCGACGCGCUUUGGCAAGGAGCAUGGUGGCCGGCGAUGCUCUCGACGACCAGUAGCACGACGGCCGGAAAAGGCUCUCGGUAAGCAGGAGCAUGGGUGGCGGCAACGUGCUUGGAAAGCAGGAACAUGACGGCAGGCGAAGGCUCUCGCCGAGCAGGACCACAACAGGUUCCAAAGCUCUCGGCGAGUAGGAGCACGGUGGCCGGCAACCUGCUCAGCGAGCAGGAGCGCGACGACGAGCGAAUGCUCUCGCCAAACAGGAGCACUAUGGCCUCUCAAGCUCUCGGGUAGUAGGAGCACGGAGGCUGGCGACCGGCUCGACGAGCAGGAGCACGACGGCAGGCGAAGGCUCUUGGCGAGCAUGAGCAAGGCGGGCGGCGGCAUGUCGGCAAGGAGGAGCCUGGAGGUGGUCUCAGCUGGCCUUCUCCCCUGGUUGCCGGCGAGGAGAAGCUAUCUAGGUGUUGGGCGAGUGCAGUUGGCGGUGUUUGUAUUUCUGCUACCUAAAUUUGAAGUUGAUAGAGUUAAAUGGUGCAGUUCUAUAAUUCAGAUAUUUUGAAACAGUGAUGCAGUAAAUAUUAAUUGAGAUGGCUGCUGUUAUUUUACCA
Lolium rigidum is the source of this 700-nucleotide long non-coding RNA. RefSeq lists it as uncharacterized. The record is from RefSeq and is a predicted model, not a curated record. The transcript is spliced from 2 exons. Lineage: Eukaryota; Viridiplantae; Streptophyta; Magnoliopsida; Poales; Poaceae.